UCCUACGGGGGGCAGCAGUGGGGAAUAUUGCGCAAUGGGGGCAACCCUGACGCAGCAACGCCGCGUGCGGGAUGAAGGCUUUCGGGUUGUAAACCGCUUUCAGCAGGGAUGACAUCGACAGUACCUGCAGAAGAAGCCCCGGCUAACUACGUGCCAGCAGCCGCGGUAAUACGUAGGGGGCGAGCGUUAUCCGGAUUCAUUGGGCGUAAAGCGCGCGCAGGCGGGCUUGCAAGCGGGGCCUUUAAUCUUGGGGCUUAACCUCAAGUCGGGUUCCGAACUGCAAGCCUCGAGUGUGGUAGGGGAAG
Molecule: ribosomal RNA, 305 nt
Filed under: uncultured bacterium
Lineage: Bacteria
Description: bacterial SSU rRNA
Rfam family: Bacterial small subunit ribosomal RNA
Source: RNAcentral